This 70-nucleotide transfer RNA is filed under the name Trichiurus lepturus (Atlantic cutlassfish). RNAcentral describes it as "tRNA-Ile". It matches the Rfam family "tRNA". From Rfam's summary of the family: Transfer RNA (tRNA) molecules are approximately 80 nucleotides in length. Their secondary structure includes four short double-helical elements and three loops (D, anti-codon, and T loops). Further hydrogen bonds mediate the characteristic L-shaped molecular structure. tRNAs have two regions of fundamental functional importance: the anti-codon, which is responsible for specific mRNA codon recognition, and the 3' end, to which the tRNAs corresponding amino acid is attached (by aminoacyl-tRNA synthetases). tRNAs cope with the degeneracy of the genetic code in two manners: having more than one tRNA (with a specific anti-codon) for a particular amino acid; and 'wobble' base-pairing, i.e. permitting non-standard base-pairing at the 3rd anti-codon position. The record is from RNAcentral. Lineage: Eukaryota; Metazoa; Chordata; Actinopteri; Scombriformes; Trichiuridae.
GGAGCCGUGCCUGAAACUAAGGGCCACUUUGAUAGAGUGGACCAUGGGGGUUAGAAUCCCCCCGACUCCU